AAGGUUUACCAGAUAUAGAGUCGCAAAGUUCCGUCGGUGGCAAACAGUGCGUGCGAUUUGACGCGGUAUCUGGCUUCGCCGCGGUUUGCGACGCGACGCGUCCAGUGCCCGUGCUCCGCUACCUGUGUCACCUCGACGCCUUUAUAUCUCGUAAACCUUCGACCUCUGACUCCUGGUCCACUAAUGACUUUUUGGGUGUUUCGGCUCCCCUUUCGAUCUGUACUACUUUCGCUGUGCCUCAGUAGGGCAACAAUUGUAUUAUUAAUCGAUCGAAUAUACAAAACACUACAAUUUUUCCUAUAUAGUUUCAUUUUAUAUUUUUCUGGAAUACGAUAAUAAAAUUAUAUAUUUCCUAUAAAUAAUUAUACAAUUUUUUCAUCGCUUUAGUUAUUUUCAAAUAAUGUUAGUCAUCUAUAAACUGUUAAGAUUUCCUUUUAUCUCGAAAAAUUUAGGUAAGAUUUUACUUUGACUGUCUGGCGUUUUCGCGGCGCUACGCCCAUAUAUUAAAUGAUAAUAUUAUACCAUCUGAUCGUCGAAUAACAUUAUCUUUCAUACCAAUGAAGUAGAUAUUAAUAUCAUUCGCACGCAUAUUAACAUCUAUUUUAUCCAGCACGUUAAGGCGCGCUAUAACGCGAAUUGUUACGCAUAGACGCGUCGCACUAGCAACAGACACGAAAACACUAGACAGUGAAUCCUACCGAAAUGUUGAACUGUUUAAGAUUAAAUUUCAUCGUCUGAAAUAUCCUAUAUAAAAUUGGAGUGACUCGGACGCAAAGCAAACAGUUACAUCAAUGAAUUCCUUCUCUCCACAGAUGACACAACGCAUUUCAAUGUUUAUAAUCCAGCUAGUAUUGGAAUAUUAUUAUCAUUUUUAUACACUUCAACAAGUUUAUAAUUUUACAAUAAUAUUUUCAGCCAGAAAUAUUAAAUAUUUUCUUUCUUCCGAAGAGUUUAACCACUCCGCACUCUUCCAUCAGAAACGUAUUAGAAUGACUUUUUGUCAUGGUAAAAUCCUAAUAAAUCCAAUCUAAAUAUAAAAACCAAAGAUUUUUUUCUGUAGUAUACAUGAAAUAUAUAUAAAUAUAAAUAUUCUCACAGGAAUUUUGUAAGUACUUAACGUAUGGAAGAAGAAAACCGACUUUUUAAAAAUCAGAGAGUUUUCGUCGUACCAUACUUAUCAACAUCUGGAAACGUCCCUUCGUCUAUAUGAUAAAAAUUCUUACGUUUAUAGCUUAAACUAUUUUAAAAAAGCUUCAAAAUAUUGCAGUAAUAUAUAAAUUACGAUCGAAACAAAUAACGAGAACAGAGUAGUAAUUAUAAAACGCGGUGAUCAAACAACCUUCAAACAUGGCGUCGAAAUUUUUUAUUCCAGAAGAAAUUUAAUCUUUCUUUGCAUAUUUUCCCCCCCUUUCCGACUUUUCAAUUUUCAUGCCUACUCGUUAUUAAACUCAAACAAUUAUUACGGAGAAAAUCAGCGGUUUCUUACCAAAAAUAUCACUUUGUUAUAGAGUUUUGAUUAAAAACUUUUUUUAAUAAAAAGAUAACUUUAGGAAGCAUGUUAUGAUAAGAAAAAUACGGUCUGUGUUUUUUUUUAUUAAUCAGAAGAACAGCUUUAACUCGGUCAAAUAAUGCGUGCAGUCUAAAUAUAAACAUUAAUAUUGUAUUUUUUUUAUUUUUUAUCAAGAAUACCGACUUUGUAAAUAACAUGACAGGUGCGUCGUACUGGAUGAAACGAUAUAACAUUUGAAUGAAUCGGAAAAUAUUCUUAUUCAAAAAAAGUUUAAUUUCUAAGAUGGUAAACACAAAUAGUAACUCCCACUCGUUUGGUAAAAACACUACCAUUGGUGGCUGAUACACUAAUUUACUAGUGUUGGCAUUGUUUCUCUCUCUGAGGACGACACACGACAAAUGUAGUGAUUAAUAUUUUCGCUGCAUUUAUUAAAAUGUACCCCAUUAGUGACGUAAUAUUAAAUAUAAUGAAAAAAAGGAUAAAGCUGUUGAUAGGUGUAAGAAAGGAGUUAUUAGAUUAUUUAACAGCCGAAAAUAGAAGACUUUUGUUAUUGUUUUUCUUCUGUUUGUCGAGAUUUAAUAUAUGACGAAUUCUAUAACAAUGGAAUUUAUUAAUAACAUCUAUGAAAAUGUAAUUAUCCAAAACUAUUUCAGCGUUAAGUCCUAAAAUAAUAGCGGAUGUAAAGGAGGAAUUAAUCAACUUAUUAAAAUGUCACCAGUUAGGCAGAUUAAUAACAACUCUAGAUAAGAGAAAAUUAUAAAGGAGAAAUUUUUUUUAUUGAUUUUUUUUCUUUUAAUCGGGUUCUUUCCAGGUGUGAUUACUUAUAUUUAUUCUAGAUUCUUCGAUAUAACAGUAACAUUUUAGUAAUUAUUCAUUUGGCUCACGUCAGAACUGAUCCCGAGUAAAACAGAAGUUUGGAUUGUUUUCGAAAUAAACAAGAUUUACUCUUCGGAUAUCUGGAAGUUUUGAUAAGAUUCCCACAAUGAAAACUGAGUAAAAAUAGAUAAAAACCUGGUGUUUUCUUUCCAGAAGAUACCGAUGUUGACACUUCGGAUGUAAUUAUAACAAGUACUGGUAUAGAAAACGAUAAGAUGCCAUCCAGUUUUUUAUCAUUCAAUAUUUGGAUGAUAAAAAACAGAAGGAAACUGAAUGAAAUGCUAUCGGAAUUGAAUUUAGAAGAAUUAUCUGAUUCUAUUGUGUUUACAAUUCGAAUAAAUUGUAUUCUAAUAAAAAUGCAGAAAUAUAUUAAACUUACAAUUUUUAUUAAAAAUAUCCAAAUACGUGUGACGCAAUUAAUUUAUAUUAAUUGCGUCACACCUAUUGUAUUAUUCUUUCUUCCAUCGCUUUGCAUAAUUUUGAAAAGAAUCCAGUUUUAUAUUUAUUAUAAUAUUCGAUAAAAAAAUUAAAUUUUAUUCUACACUGACAAUAUAACCAUUUUAAAGCGUAUUAUGGUAAUUAAUUUAUUAUUGUUGUUGUUAUUUUGAUUUGCAUACAAGGUACCUAGUGUUUACAGCGUUGUCUAACAGCGACGUCACAUAACGAAUAAAGAAUGGCGAAUCGUGUAUUAAUUACUGGAAAUCGUGUCUGGUAUAUCGGAUACUAUGAUCAUCCGUUGUUAUAAGUCCAACACAUAAUCGUGUUCCUUUGUCAUUGAAGGAAAUUUUCAUGUCGAAUAUCUUAAAUCCUUCAUUUACAAUCGAUUAAAAACGAUAAGAUAUUGAAAUUUUUGAGAUAUUGGUUUAAAUAUUCCUAAUUAAUAUAUGAAUUUUCCUGUAAUCGAGUUGACGUGGAUGACCAUCAGUUAUCCAAUAGUUUUACUGAUUUAAAAAUAGACGACAGUUAAACUUUUCAGGUUUCCUCAUAAAGGAAGUGAUAUGGAUUUAAGUUGGAUUAUCAAAUAACCAAUUUCCAGCCCUUCUGAUUGAUGACAUAUUUUAAUUGCGCGUCUUUAACCAUUCGAAAACAGUCGAUAGCGUGUCAGCCAUUUUCCAGUUUGAAUUCGGAAAGUAGUCGAUUACGGGUGUGUUCAAAAAAUGCUUCGAGAAGUGUCCGCUGGAGAAUGACGUCAAAGAAUGACGUCAUCACCCAUCAGCUGGCCAGAUCACGCGAUUGCUUAGUUUCCAGCGGAAUUUCUCGGAGCAUUUUCUGAACUCACUCUUGUUCCAUCUGUAACUGCUUGUUUACUACAGACUGGUGACAUAAUACGAAACAAACAGUGAUGAAGUAAACAGAUAUUUUUUGGCUCAACAAUUUAGUUUAGGAGCCAGUUUUAUUUAU
RNAcentral lists this long non-coding RNA (3787 nucleotides) under Androctonus crassicauda. The record is from RNAcentral. Lineage: Eukaryota; Metazoa; Arthropoda; Arachnida; Scorpiones; Buthidae.